CCAGAGGAAUCCACGAAGCCCUGAAUUGCAGAUUUUGGUUGAGGCAGUGGGAUUUUGGACCUGAGAUUGAUCACCCAUCAGUAGUUGCUGGAUUUGGAUCUGUCCUCACCCGAUUUGGAGAUCAUUAGAUCUUGAGGGGCUUUGUUGCUGGUUUGGAGGUGUUUCCAGCAGUGUUGCUUGUGAUCCGAGACCCUCUUGCUUCCAGGAUUUUCACUAGAG
Long non-coding RNA from Ananas comosus (pineapple), 219 nucleotides. RefSeq lists it as uncharacterized. NCBI's taxonomy places the organism in Eukaryota, Viridiplantae, Streptophyta, Magnoliopsida, Poales, Bromeliaceae. The transcript has 3 exons. The record is from RefSeq and is a predicted model, not a curated record.